CUACGGAGGAUCCGAGCGUUAUCCGGAUUUAUUGGGUUUAAAGGGUGCGCAGGCGGGAGAUUAAGUCGGCGGUGAAAUUUUGCAGCUCAACUGUAAAAGUGCCUUCGAAACUGGUUUCCUUGAGUGUAGAUGAAGUAGGCGGAAUUUGUGGUGUAGCGGUGAAAUGCAUAGAUAUCACGAGGAACUCCGAUUGCGCAGGCAGCUUACUAAACUACUACUGACGCUCAGGCACGAAGGCGUGGGGAUCAAACAGGAUUAGAUACCCUGGUAGUCCACGCAGUAAACGAUGAUUACUAGCUGUUUGCGAUACAAUGUAAGCGGCUGAGCGAAAGCGUUAAGUAAUCCACCUGGGGAGUACGUUCGCAAGAAUGAAACUUAAAGGAAUUGACGGGG
This 393-nucleotide ribosomal RNA is filed under the name uncultured bacterium. RNAcentral's name for it is "partial 16S ribosomal RNA". It matches the Rfam family "Bacterial small subunit ribosomal RNA", at positions 523 to 918 of the family's 1533-position model. The record is from RNAcentral.